RNAcentral lists this ribosomal RNA (498 nucleotides) under uncultured bacterium. Its description in RNAcentral is "partial 16S ribosomal RNA". It matches the Rfam family "Bacterial small subunit ribosomal RNA", at positions 28 to 523 of the family's 1533-position model. The record is from RNAcentral.
GAUGAACGCUAGCGGCAGGCUUAAUACAUGCAAGUCGAGGGGCAGCGGGGUAGCAAUACCGCCGGCGACCGGCAAACGGGUGCGGAACACGUACACAACCUUCCUUUUAGUGGGGCAUAGCCCAGAGAAAUUUGGAUUAAUACCCCGUAAGAUAUUAGAGCGGCAUCGCUUAGAUAUUAUAGGUUUACCGCUAAGAGAUGGGUGUGCGGCUGAUUAGGUAGUUGGCGGAGUAAUAGCCCACCAAGCCGACGAUCAGUAGCUGAUGUGAGAGCAUGAUCAGCCACACGGGCACUAGGACACGGGCCCGACUCCUACGGGAGGCAGCAGUAAGGAAUAUUGGACAAUGGACGCAAGUCUGAUCCAGCCAUGCCGCGUGAAGGAUUAAGGCCCUCUGGGUUGUAAACUUCUUUUAUAGGGGACGAAAAAAGGGCUUUCUAGCUCGUCUGACGGUACCCUAUGAAUAAGCACCGGCUAACUCCGUGCCAGCAGCCGCCGUAA